UAGACUUCCCACUGUUCCAAAGGGCAUUCCUAAAAAUAAUCAGUCCCAAUCACUUGAUGUGAAAAUGUGAAAAUCGAAAUCACUACCAGUAAAAACGGAGUUUCUGAUGAAGAACGAUCAUAAAACGAUCAAUGACAAAUUAAGAAUUAUUUCAAGCGAGAAUAACAUAGAGAACAAGCUCACAAAAUUCGAGUUAAUUCUAUACACUUAUAAUCAUAAAUCGGUUCAUAAUACUACAAAAAGAUCCCCAGCUGAUAUCUUCCUGUACGCCGGACUAUCAGAUUAUAACACCCAACUGAAUAAGGUUAGGAAGAUCAAUCAUUUGAAUAACGAUAGAAUCGACUUUGAAGUAGACACACGCUACAAAAAUGCACCCCUAGUUAAAAAAUAACAACCAAUCCGAUCAAAAGAAUAGGGGAAAUUCGGCAGAGUACCCGAAGAGAGUACUGGGAAUCUGGAGCUACAACAUGAUUAAGAUUAUAAUCUUACUAAUGUUCACCGUCCUACAGUCUACCGGACAGAAUAUAGAGAUAGAUCCCAUCAACUCAAGGAAUGGAUAUCUCAUAUUCAAAACAGAUACCAUUAACAUACCCAUUAAUUAUGAAUAUCAUUAUUUAACAAUUAAUAUAACAAGAACAGAUGAAACAUA
Long non-coding RNA from Drosophila pseudoobscura, 649 nucleotides. RefSeq lists it as uncharacterized. NCBI's taxonomy places the organism in Eukaryota, Metazoa, Arthropoda, Insecta, Diptera, Drosophilidae. The record is from RefSeq and is a predicted model, not a curated record. The transcript is spliced from 2 exons.